Paramormyrops kingsleyae is the source of this 358-nucleotide long non-coding RNA. RefSeq lists it as uncharacterized. The record is from RefSeq and is a predicted model, not a curated record. Lineage: Eukaryota; Metazoa; Chordata; Actinopteri; Osteoglossiformes; Mormyridae.
CUGUGGAAUUCCAUGUGUAGCCAAGUGGGGAAUUUUGAUUCCUUCGCCCUAUUGGUUCCCCUGUGUUUUGGGCGGGGCUUAGUGCUGUAUAUAGGGGGUGGAUGGCUAGGUAUGGCGCUGAUGCGGCUCCUGUUGCUGGCGGCGGAGGUAGCAGCCGUGGAGUGAGUCCGCAGGAGGUUGACUGGCACAUUCGUUCUCAUCCCUUAACCAUUGAUGUGUUGGGGAGGUGGUGAAAGCAGCCCCAGCAGUGUUAUAAGUCCUCAGGCUGGUGGUUUACUGGGAAUGUGGACCUCGCCGCUGUUUUGUUUUGUCUGUCUGUCUACACGCAAUCCACAUCGGCAUAUCCUGUGGAGCACGG